This 901-nucleotide long non-coding RNA is filed under the name Homo sapiens (human). RNAcentral describes it as "non-protein coding LINC00658:1". Lineage: Eukaryota; Metazoa; Chordata; Mammalia; Primates; Hominidae. The record is from RNAcentral.
ACAGCCAAGAGGGAGGCCGGGCCAGGGGCUGGUGGCUUCCUCCGCGAGCUCUGCCAGUUUCUGGCCUCAGGUCCUGAGUUGUUAUCGCAAGUCCAGGAAGAAUGAGGUUACUCAGGCAACUGGAGGGUGAGGAUGGAGAAGAGCUUUAUUGAGCAACAGAACAGCUCUCAGCAGAGAGGAGACCCAAAGUGGGUAGCUCCUACCUGCAGGAAGGUUUCUGAAGGGGGCCAAGAUGGCCCAAUAGGAACAGCUCCAGUCUGCAGCUCCCAGAAAGACCAACGCAGAAGGCAGAUGAUGAAUUAGAGCGGUUGUUAUCGAAUCUGCCACCAGAGGGCGAUCCAGGCUGAAGAUCUCUCUCUCUGCGGAAGCCAGCCACCGCUCUCCAAGGACUCUCGAGCAGCUCCAUCUACAGAUUCACAUGGAGAAGAAUUAAGGGUUCCUGCCAAUCACCAGCACCACUUUGCCAGCCUUGUAAGUGGGCCACCUUGGAAUUGGAGCCUCCAGUUCCUACUGACAUCUGACUGCAACAUCAUGAGAGACCCUGAGUUUGAACCACCCAGCUGAGCUGCUUCUGAGCUAACCCACUGAAACCGUGAAAGUACCUGAAUGAAACAACACCCAGUAGCCACUAGCACACCUAGCUCCCAGAUCUGUUUUUGAUGCCAUUCUUCAGUAAAAGGAAGCAAGGCUGCUUGGAGAAAUUGCUAUCAAGGACUGGGGUAGAAAAUAUACAAGAUGAAAUUGGAGCAUCUUGUAGUGCUUGAAAACAGUUGGCAUCUGUGUGAAGAUGUGAAUGGAGGAGGCAGAGUAGGCAGUGAGUGCCGCAGCCACAGCUUGUGUUCUCUGCAGCCCUGGCACAGAAGAUAGGAACACUCAUGGGGGAUGCGGCCACUGUGAUGUC